GCCGACGGGGCCGCAGAAGGCGGUCCAGCCGUACUUCUUCCUCCAGGCCAGGGGCUUAUUGGCGUCCCACGUCGCGCAGUAGGCGCUAACACGGUUCAGGUCCCAGUUAUUCUGAGCCGGGUAGUAGUAGUGGUACGUCGCCCGGACGUUGGACGCUUGCUGCGCGCUGGCCGCCGCGGCGACGCAGAGCAGCACGGCGACGACGGAGCUCACCUUGGCGCUCAUCGUCAUGACGGCUUUGCUUCGGAUGAAAACGGUGGCGGCAUGGAGGCCGGCAUUUAUAGAUGUCGCUGGUGCAAGUUUUCUCGGAUUUGCGUGCAAAAUGGAGCCAAUCUGCGUGACGUGUCUGCUUUCCACGUGACCGGAAAAUUGAAGCCAAUUUGACUUGAAGAUGAAUCGAGGCGCCCGACGCAGACGGGGCCGCCUUUGGAGGUGUAGUACGCGAGCAAAUGACAUGAGAUUCGAUGGUUGGGCACAUGCAUGGAGUCACGAUUCCAACCUCGGAAACCAAAUGUUAGAACCAAAAAAUCCAAUCAAUGGUGUUGCGGGAAACAACUGUAUGCCGUGGUCUCGGGGCCGACGCGGCUUGGUUCGGGUCCGAAUGCGCGGGGAUCCGAUGCGACGCUCCUCGGGGCAGUCGGGGUGGCCGGUCACGACAGUCCGGAGGGAAUGCAACGUGGGGGGGAAGCCUCGGCCGGUGCGGCGUAUGGAAGGUGCGACCUCGCCUUCAUUCCUGCACACAGGUCGGGUCGGAAGCUUGGCCCGACCCCUCCGACGAUCAAGUCAGAUGAUGUGGAAGGGAGUUUUUUUCGUCCAGAGGUCCCCCCCUUUUUCGUUUAGGACUCGGGGGUAUUUAUAGGGUAAUUUAGUGUUACCUGAUGUGCCUGCCUGUGUGAGGCAAGAUCGUACCUCCGAUGGCGUCUGACACUGUUAUUGACGUUGUGUGGAGAACCGAACUGUCGCAGGGUAUGGGCGAAGGUCGGUUGUCGUCCUCCCCUACCGUGGUCAAGCGCACGGGGUCGGAAGUCGUUGCCUGAUAGCGGAUGAUGUCAGCGUGUGUCGAGUCAGCGUUAUUGCCUUCCUCAUUAGGCAGAGUGGCGCCCAGGCGAGGCCGUCGUCGUGAUACGUCAUGUCGUCGUUAUUACCCCUAUCAAAUGGGGUGAGAGAGAGAGAGAGUGAGCCACUAAAACCUUUCCUCGCGCACGGUCAAGUCAUCUACCCUUUAUCCACGUCUUGACUACACAGCAUCCUUCAUUAUCAUAAGAUGGAAAACUUUGGUUCGCCACCAACAAGUCUCUCGUCCCGACCAAUCGGGACGAAGAAUAGAACCCACCAAAAACGCAAGGUUGGGUCUUCUGACAUGAUGCGAUACUUUUUGCAUGAAUCAAAUUAAGAUAGCAUUACAGUGCAAGAACUACUUGAGAACUCACCAUGGAGAGUAUCCAUAUCCCACGCAGCAGGCCCGGAUGUCAUGAACCUGCACCGAACGACAUCGUAUCCACGCAAUCGAUCAAACUCCUGCCGGGCAGAAGCAGUAUCUCCACAACCCAAGCACGGACAUCUUCACGAGAGAAUUCUGCAAAUGAACACGGACCAUGGAUCUGUUAAACGACAGAAGAUCUGUGACGAGAGAAUACACUUGUAAAGAUCAAAACCUGUGGACUGGAUAGAGACAAAACUGAUCUCGCGAGUCGAGUACUCGGGGUGAGGAACUGCAGAGCCUCUUUACCUGGGCUAGUGUGUUGCACUUCUCAAGAAGAACAAGGAAGCGAUCCCAGCUGCACAGAAGCCGCCAUAACUAGCAAACGAAAGCAAGGAUGUAGAAUAUACAUUGGAAUUUACGUCAAAAGGAAGAAUGUGUAUGAUUUGCAUAAUGCCGUAGUAGGUACACCUCCUUUCCUCAUCCUUUAUAGGAGUGAUCAGUUUCGUUUGCGUGAAGUUUCUUUCGUUCUGCAGUUAGACUGAUACAUAUGAAAACAGGCUUGCUCUUCUCGGUACUUAUAACUGUGAGUUUUAACUGACGCAAUAAAGGAUGCCGCCGUUGGUCGACCACGACCAGAUUUAUGUUUUCCCGAUGGAAAAGCUGUGGGUGCUCUUCUCCGUACUUAUAACUGUGAGUUUUAACUAACGCAAUACGAAAAAUCUAUGUAUAAAUAGAAGAGGGAUAUGUUAAUAUAUUUAAGCUUUUUCACUUGUUCAAUAAGGCUUCUUCAAUAAUUGUUAUUAUCUUUUAUUAUUUUUAUCAUAGUACCAGUGAGAAAAGUGAAGCUUCGCUCUUGUCUUCGACCAACGACCAACGCCGUUGAGAAAAGCAAAACUUCGCCCUUGCUUUUAGCCAGCGACCAACACCGCUGCAGCUAAAUUCCUAAGAGGCUCUGCGGCCAAUCCUCAUCUUCCUCACCACGAUAGUCUUCGUUGAUCUGCCAACAAUUGGCGGACUUAAGGAGAACGAAGGACGGGCUUAAGGGGAACGAAAGGAACGCCUGUGCCCUCACAACAAUAGCAAUCGCAGCAGCAACAGCAGCAACGAUAUGCUCUUGUUCUACUCACGACUCUCGCUCGUAAACCAUUCUUUGUAUCGAUCCAAGUCGCAACAGCAACAGUGAUAUACUUUUGCUCUACUCACGACUCUCGUUCAUAAACCAUUCUUUGUAUCGAUCCAAGAUUGGUAUCUUGACAGGAGUACCAUCUUGCGGGGACAUGAUAGAAGAUAAGAUUUCUCCAACUAUACGAGAAAAUCUCUCUAUUCUGUCGAGGAAAAUCCUCCAUUCUGUUGAGGAAAAUUCUUCCUUCUAAUAUGUAUAAAUAGGAGAGGGACAUAUUAAUGUAUUUAAGCUUUUUCACUUCUUCAAUAAUUAUUUUUAUCUUCUAUUAUUUUCAUCACUGAGUUUAUUACGUUUAACUUCUUUUCUUAUCAGGGUCCUUUGCAGGUCUUAUCAGGUUUUCUAUCAUGGUAUCUUGCAGGGAAACUCAAGGCUUUUGAUCGUCGGGGCCACGUUGCAAAACUGUGCAUUGUGUUCCUUCCUCUGCUUUGUGCAUCUCUUAUUGCAAUUUCCCGAGUUGAUGACUACUGGCAUCAUUGGCAAGAUGUGUUCGCAGGAGGUUUUCUAGGUUUGUUUUGAAAUCAAGCUAAACUUUUAAGCUGAAGUUAUUCCAUAUUACUGAAUAUUUUUUGUUUCCUUAUGCAGGAUUGGUAAUUGCUUCAUUUUGUUACCUGCAAUUCUUCCCACCACCUUAUGAUGUAGAUGGUACGUACUCUUUUCUAUAUUAUAUGCAAGUCUCUGUUUGUAUGCUCUGUUUUAUGAGUUUGAUCUCUCAAGAAACACAAAUGGUACUUAGUACAUUUCAUGUACUGGUGUGAGUUUCUCACCUCAUGCAUACAACCUCAGCCUAGUUUAGCUUAAGUUAAUAGUAGUGGAUGCCUUGUCGGCUCUAAUACCAGUUGUAAAGACCCUGAUGAUUCGUCUGUUACUUUUAUUAAGCCUACUGAUUUAAAAAAUAUUAGGCAUCAAGGUCUUAAAAUGACCGAGGCACUAGGUGCUCGUCCGAGUGAAACAAAGCGCUCUUAAAUAUUAAAAUAUAAAAAAAUAUAUAAUAUAAUUUAAAAUAUAAUUAUUUAGAUAAAAAUAUGAUAUUAAAUUAAAUAUAUACUAUUAACAGUAUAUUACUUAAUGUUAACCAUAGAUAGAGGGGGAGAAAACAACCGUUAACAAUAACAAAUGAAGAUAAAAGGGUCGCUAACGAUGAAAACUGAUGGAAAGUGGCAACGGUAGUGAUGGGAAGGCAAUGGUGAGAAGUUGGCAGUAGCGACGGCGAAGGAUUAUUUUAGGACAGUUGUGGUCGGACUGUGAACUGUCACGAACGAUCGUCACGCAUAUGCAACAACUUCGUUCAACGAACCAUUCGUCGCUUUUGCAUGCUUGUACAAAGACAUGGCAGUAUGUUUUACCUUAGUUUUGUGUAUUUUUUCUUGAAAAAAAUGCAUGUUCGAAUAGAUUGCCACGCUAUAGUGCGAAGGCUCACUGCAUGGGCAAAACUACCCAAAAUGGUUUCGUUUUCGCGUGUCACAUCCUGUUUUCUACAAACCGCAGCUGUACGCGAAAUGUCAGCCAUCUCAGCACUCUGAAACCUCCUGGUUGGCACAGGACUAGAUGAGGCUUCGGUAUAUUGUCGGGCAUUGAAUAAUCUUCAUAAGUUCACACGUUAACUUGACGGGAACUUGCCUUUGCGCCCGGCACCCGGUGAGCAGUUGUUUGUAGACUUGCAACUGUUCAUUCUACAUUCUAAAGUCGUUUUCUUCUUUCUCUCUUUUCUCUCUUGUACUCAAGGUGCUCACUGAAUUACUUAUAAAGCUUCCCUCUUCACGAAAUGUCAGGACUUAUCCGUCGUUCGUUUUCAAUCCAAUCACCUUUCUAUUUUACAAGUCCGUCGGGACCUGUACGAGGUUGCAACUAGGUUGACCCUAUGCGGACAUAUAUGUCGCAAGGACACCUCCUGACUUAGGCAAUCCGAGCUAAGUCCGAGGAGUUAACACAAAGGUGCUUCACGACUUAGGCAACUCUAGCUAAAUCUGUAACUUUGUUAUAAGGGUGCCUCAUGACUUAGGCAAUUCUAGCUAAGUCCAUGACAGGAUGAUAACAACAGUUGUGGUGAAAGUUGUGGACAAUAGUGGCGGCAUCGACAAAAGCUGUGAAUAGCAGUAACGGUAGAAGUUGCAGAUAAUAGCAGUAGCAAAAAUAGAAGUUGCAUACAGCAACAGCGACGACAGAAGCUGCGAACAACAGUAGCUGCAGUGACGAAAGCUCUAGAGAGCGUCCGUUGGUGGCAGAAGAACCUGUGGUCUUCUCCCUUGACAGUGGAAGGAACUAUAUACGAAGCAACAGUGAAAGGAAGCUACAAGCUCUUGCUAAGUCAUCAGACUCGUCCGUCGACGACAAAGGAAGGCUCAAUCCACUACGUCUGUGUUGGAGACAACAACAUAAAGCAUCGGCGGCGGAGGCAAAAGCAACGCUAAAGUUGGCUCGAGGUCGCGCGAGCAUGAAAGGUGGCUUUUGAGGGUAAGAAACUAUGCUAUUGAACCGAACCAAACUUAAAAAUCUAGUUCAAUUUGCUUAUUUGGACCCGGCGCUUGCUUGAAGUGCCCAAGCGGUGCCUCAUUGAAGUGCAUCGCUAGUCCACACACAAGGCGCUUAGGCCUCGCUUGAGCGCCUAUUAAGCUAAGGUUACAUUGUUUAAGCUAAGGUUACAUCCGAUGUGAGACCCUUAUAAACCAUAAACCAAUCUGAGCUCACUUCCAAUGUGAGACCCUUACUGUAUUGCAAAUUCCAAGCAGUCAUUAUUCACUUGUAGGAUUCCUAAUCUUGCUAUGUUUUGCUAUUAAUGUGCAUACCAUAUCCACGAAUUUGUAUAUCGAAGUCAACAUUUCACCAAAUUUCACAGGGAAAGCGACAUGUCGAUAUUUAAUGGCAUUAGUAACUUGGUUUGCCAUGUCCAAAACCAUCAAACUCCCUCAAAAAUGCUGCUUGCUGUGAGUUCACUGCAUAAUAUAUAUUUUCCGUCUUCCUAAUUCAUAUCUGGUAUUUCUUCCAGGUUGGUUUCCUCAUGCGUACUUGCAUGCAAUGGCUGACUCCAGACACAACGAUCAACCGACUGCAAACCCUCUUCAGUCGAGGCCGUCAGAGAUGGAGACUGUUUAUGUUUCAUCUGAGGGCCAAGAUGGGAUCCACUUGAGGGACACAAUCCUGAUUCUGAACUCGAUGGAGGCUGGGAGAAGACAGUGAGUUCGACGCUGGGAUGCUGCACGAGUGUAGCAUAGAUUUUCCACAUCCAAAUAGUUGGAAACAUGAUUCAUCAUCUCUUCUUACCUCUCACCAUGUUUUCAUUCUUGAUCCCCAGCAACUGCUUUAAUUUCCCCUUCAAAUGGGAAAUUGAAGGCAGUGUGUAAGAUUCAUUCUUCUCUCUUCUUCCUGCUGUGUAGGGAGGGUCUCUCCUCUGCUCUCUAUGUAUACAUGAUGAACUCCAACAUCUUGUUUUAAGUUAUUCUGCAUGCUGAAACAUUAGAAUUGUCGAAACAUGCAGCCACUGAUGGCGAAAUCUUUCCCUGGCACCAAAACUGUAAUUGGGAAAGACUGUUUAACUCUUCAAUCCAUCUUUUUGUGCUCAAAAAUAGUGUUUCGCAGUGUACUAUGGUUUUGUUUAAAAGGAAUGUCCCAAGUUUAUCGUCUCACAUCAGCGAAUUCCACGAUCUUCUUCUUUGUCAUGCAAAGACAGACAGCAGAGGCAGUCAUUCCUCGUUGUCAUUUUAUUGGAUGGUAAGAUAGCAUUACAGCAUCACGAACUGAGCAUGCAAGCAAGCUUAUUUAUAUAGAUCGAUGUAUAUAUAUGCUUGCAGGAGAUGGUGUGGAAGAGAGGCAACAGAUCAGUCACCGCAGUUGACGAACUGGUAGUUGACAAUCAAAUGGCCUCGAUUGUAGCCGCCACCAUCGGUAUCCAGUUGAGAGAAGACGCCUUGGUCUAAAUCUAACCCUCCGUUGGCGCACUGGUCCACGAUCCUGACCGUAGCCUGAGUUCCCGUCGCCGUGUUCGUCACCUGCAAGACGCUCGCAUGGGACAUGGGUCAGUGUCGAGUGCUCGACCUUUUGCUCUCCCAACACUGCUUCAGUGGAUUGGGAUGGGUCGGCUUAGAACGUAUAGUAUCUGCGGCGUGGAGUUGUUACCCGCAAGCACUUGCCACAGGCGUCGCGGCCGGUCGGGCCGACGGGGCCGCAGAAGGCGGUCCAGCCGUACUUCUUCCUCCACUCCAGGGGCUUAUUGGCGUCCCACGUCGCGCAGUAGGCGCUAACACGGUUCAGGUCCCAGUUAUUCUGAGCCGGGUAGUAGUAGUGGUACGUCGCCCGGACGUUGGACGCUUGCUGCGCGCUGGCCGCCGCGGCGACGCAGAGCAGCACGGCGACGACGGAGCUCACCUUGGCGCUCAUCGUCAUGAUGGCUUUUCUUCGG
RNAcentral lists this long non-coding RNA (6999 nucleotides) under Musa acuminata (dwarf banana). RNAcentral's name for it is "long non-coding RNA (MACU_LNC002982)". The record is from RNAcentral. Lineage: Eukaryota; Viridiplantae; Streptophyta; Magnoliopsida; Zingiberales; Musaceae.